CGAACAACCGACCAUGCUGAAUUUCUCUAGGCAGCACUUGAAGUAGCACUUCAGGUUGUUGUCGUCAUCGGGCAUUACACCGUAUUCAAAGUCCUCGAUGGCCUCUGUAAAAUGGAAGGGGUAUAUAUCAGGUACUUACCGAACCAACACCAAUCGCAAAGGCAAAUGUAGACGUUAUGACGCAUAGAAAAAUCAGAACGGAUUCCGAAGUCAUCAUUCCUUCGCCCGAAACUUUGGAAGGUUUACACAUAAAAACACCAAACAGACUGUGCUGCUUCCACCGAUUGGCGGAAUAUAUACAUAUACACGAGUGUGAUUUUGAAGGCAAAUGGGAAAUAAUAAUCGGCUGGCAAGAAUGUAACCAGCAGGUAGUGUCGUCUACAAGUAAAUUGCAUCCGUUUCUCGCAUCCUUUAAUUGUCGAAUGAACGCACAUGAUCGCCUUUGUUCGACCAGGGCUGCUACAAAUAUUAGCGACGAAACUUACAAUCGACGAGUAAUAUUAGAGCGUUCCAGAAAAUAUUGCGUAUUCGGAAACCUUGGUUCGUCAACGAUAACUAUAAUAUCAAUUAAAAGGAUACAAUGUAAACGCAAGGUGUAAUUAACCAUCCGUACGCGGAUGCUAUUAUAUGAAAGGAAGUUGUUAAACGGCUCACUUACCUGUAAUGCAACAGUUGAUGCUCUAAACGAAACUUUGUUAAUUACGGUAUCCCUCCUCGGACAUGUUUAAGUUUCUUGGAAACUGUGGUCUAGAAGGUGGAGAUAUUUGUCUCUUAAUUGCAGGUUGAAGAUCGUUUAUGCAACUUUAAGGAUAAGAGUUCGAUAACACGUCGAUUAUACCAGGAGAUACGCUUAAAUUGCGAAAGUUAUUCAGGAAAUAGGAGAGGAGCGGUUUUUAUUUGGAAAGUUUUAUUUAAAACAUUUUUCGAUAUCUUUUGUACUUUAUAUAUAGUUAAAAAAAACAUUUCUUUCUGUAUUGUUCAAAGGUCAACUAAAGCAGCGGUAGUUGGAGAUAUUUCAAGAGAUAACUAGUUCUUGGAACGUAAUCUGUUAACGUACUUCCGAGAAACGCGUGUUACUCUAUGGUUAGAGAGGGGGUGUACUGAUUAAAUUGGCAGUAAUUUAAACGUCAAGUGA
Molecule: long non-coding RNA, 1135 nt
Organism: Hylaeus volcanicus
Lineage: Eukaryota; Metazoa; Arthropoda; Insecta; Hymenoptera; Colletidae
Exons: 3
Source: RefSeq, a predicted model, not a curated record